AAGCGGAUCUCUUAAAGACUGUUCUCAGUUCGGACUGCAGUCUGCAACUCGACUGCACGAAGCUGGAAUCGCUAGUAAUCGCGGAUCAGCACGCCGCGGUGAAUACGUUCCCGGGCCUGUACACACCGCCCGUCACACCAUGGAAGUCUGCAAUGCCCGAAGCCGGUGGCCUAACCACUUAUGUGGAAGGAGCCGUCUAAGGCAGGGCAGAUGACUGGGGUGAAGUCGUAACAAGGUAAC
RNAcentral lists this ribosomal RNA (240 nucleotides) under uncultured bacterium. RNAcentral describes it as "partial 16S ribosomal RNA". It matches the Rfam family "Bacterial small subunit ribosomal RNA", at positions 1265 to 1500 of the family's 1533-position model. The record is from RNAcentral.